GGGCAAAUACCCAAGUUCGGCUGAAGGGACUGGUCUCGAAAACCAGCAGGGGUUUAACGAUCCGCGGGGGUUCGAAUCCCUCUUUGCCCGCCA
Molecule: transfer RNA, 93 nt
Filed under: Mycoplasma marinum
Lineage: Bacteria; Bacillati; Mycoplasmatota; Mollicutes; Mycoplasmatales; Mycoplasmataceae
Description: tRNA-Ser
Rfam family: tRNA
About the family: Transfer RNA (tRNA) molecules are approximately 80 nucleotides in length. Their secondary structure includes four short double-helical elements and three loops (D, anti-codon, and T loops).
Source: RNAcentral